GGAAGUUCUCAGGUGACACACCCAGGAACCAGGCUCCCUCCUGUCUGGUUCUGAGUGCAUCAACUGAGAACCACA
This is a non-coding RNA of Myotis davidii, 75 nucleotides long. The record is from Rfam. Lineage: Eukaryota; Metazoa; Chordata; Mammalia; Chiroptera; Vespertilionidae.